This 77-nucleotide non-coding RNA is filed under the name unclassified sequences. The record is from Rfam.
GGGGGAGAGACUUAGAAUCCCCCGUGGACCUUGUGUAAAUAGUAGUGUCUUUGGCCGGGCAUUGCGGUUUGUGAAUC